Molecule: ribosomal RNA, 253 nt
Filed under: uncultured bacterium
Lineage: Bacteria
Description: partial 16S ribosomal RNA
Rfam family: Bacterial small subunit ribosomal RNA
Source: RNAcentral
UACGUAGGGCGCAAGCGUUAUCCGGAAUUAUUGGGCGUAAAGAGCUCGUAGGCGGUUUGUCGCGUCUGCCGUGAAAUCUCCGGGCUCAACCCGGAACGGUCAACUGAUACUGCGGGGCUAGAGUGCAGAAGGGGCAACUGGAAUUCUCGGUGUAGCGGUGAAAUGCGUAGAUAUCAAGAGGAAUACCUGAGGUGAAGACGGGUUGCUAGGCUGACACUGACGCUGAGGCGCGAAAGCCAGGGGAGCAAACGGG